CUGCCCUUGUUCGCCAGUGUGUGUCGCCAGCCGGGCAGAGCUGGGCUCAGUCCUGAGCGCUCUGCCCUCUGCACGCCUCUACCCGCGCGGCUCCCCGGACAAGGUCUCGCUGUGUAAUCCAGGCUGCCUUGGAACUCCCGACAAUCCUCCUUCCUCAGCUUGCUCAGUGCUGAGCUUACAGCUCCUGUAUCCCAUUUAAGACAAGAAAGCCACAUUCAUGGACUCUGAACAAUGCACGCUGGCCAGGAUUCUGCCAGUUGAACCCAGGAAUUCAGUUUACAGAAAUGACCUCUUGGCUAUGAUGGAGGACAAAUCGCU
Molecule: long non-coding RNA, 318 nt
Organism: Heterocephalus glaber (naked mole-rat)
Lineage: Eukaryota; Metazoa; Chordata; Mammalia; Rodentia; Bathyergidae
Source: RefSeq, a predicted model, not a curated record